This 253-nucleotide ribosomal RNA is filed under the name uncultured bacterium. RNAcentral describes it as "partial 16S ribosomal RNA". It matches the Rfam family "Bacterial small subunit ribosomal RNA", at positions 524 to 776 of the family's 1533-position model. The record is from RNAcentral.
UACGUAGGGGUCGAGCGUUGUCCGGAGUUACUGGGCGUAAAGCGCGUGCAGGUGGCUCAUUACGCCCGGCGUGAAAGCCCCCGGCUCAACCGGGGAGGGUCGUCGGGGACGGGUGAGCUUGAGGGUAGCAGGGGCUGGUAGAAUUCCCGGUGUAGUGGUGAAAUGCGUAGAGAUCGGGAGGAAUACCCGUGGCGAAGGCGGCAAGCUGGGCUACACCUGACACUGAGACGCGAAGGCGUGGGGAGCGAACGGG